AUGCUCGUUUUCCCUUCGGGCAAAAAGGCCCACCUUCUCCAAAUGUUUCUGGAAGUCUCUCCUGCCUGGUCCCGCGGUGAGAGGAGAAGGCCACAGCACGGGAUUGCCGACUCAUCUCAAAGGACCCCCCCCUUUUGCAUUUAUAGGGGCAAGAGAAAGGUGGAGAAACACGUGCACCCCAGACCACGCGUCCCUACCCCUUGGCAGGUCACCGCGCCGCAGCCUGUCUCCCUUUGGAACCUCAGAGGCCUUGUUGCCUGUGUCCGCGGCCACAGUCCACGUGUGGAAAAUCUUCCUUUGAGCUCCUUUAAUAUUGUUUCAAAUUUAGUGUCCUCAACGUCCCUCACUACCCCGAGGGGUCCUCCGGCCGAGGACCCCCGCGCGGCCUGCGCCCCCAGCCCAGGGGGUAUCGCGGGCUCUGGGAGGGGACCUCCAGCCUGCCUGACACCCGAGGCCCCCGGGGUGCCCUGCAGGGAGCAAUGGGGUGCCGAUCUCACCGGGAAAGAGGGGCUCACUGAACAGGGAACAGGUGAGGGGCAGAGCGGGAGGCUGAUGGGCCCGCUGGCCUCGGUGUGUCACCUGCUGAUGAUUCCCAGACACUGGGUCUGCCUCAAUAACGUCGAUGGUUUGCGACGAGGUGAGAGCUCCUUUAGGGACAUUACCUCUCGGCUUCCCAGUGAGGUGACAAAGCGUGUUAUCUUUCUUCUAAAAAUAAACACGGCGACAGCAGCAGCCAGGGCACGGCGCUCAGAGCCAGCUCGCAGAUCCUCCGCAGCCCGGGGCUCAGAGACAGGACCGAGGGUCCCGGGGGACGGAGGGGACGAGGAUGCCGGCAGGACUUGGCCUCCGAGGGGGGCAUGGCACGAGGACAAGCAACUGCAAGGCGUCCCGGGAGACAGGACUGACCGCCUGACUGUUGGACCCCACGGGCCGCCACCUAACCUCCACAGCAGCCUGGUGGCGUCCAAUGGGGCCCGAUCCUGUCUGUCACUCACCGGCUGCCUGACCCUGGACACGUCGCCGCCCCCUCUGAGCCUCAGUUUCUUCACCCGCGAGAUGUGCAGAAUGACGCCUCGCACACCUGGCUUUGAGAAUGACACGCAUAGCAGACAUUCGUCCUUUCGUGUCUAUUGUCACCUGCUGUCACCAGUGACUUGCACAGUGCACAAAACAGGCUUUAAUCGGUGUUGGUCCCCGUCACCCAAGGCCAAAUUUCUCUUGGCAGUGGCUUGUCACGCCAACAUUUCAAUGGGAAGGGGGCUGGUGCGCCGGGGCCUAGCUCUCCACGGGUAG
Molecule: long non-coding RNA, 1293 nt
Filed under: Canis lupus familiaris (dog)
Lineage: Eukaryota; Metazoa; Chordata; Mammalia; Carnivora; Canidae
Description: lncRNA (ENSCAFG00030003113.1)
Source: RNAcentral